UUCGAUUCUGGCUCAGAACGAACGCUGGCGGCAGGUCUUAGGCAUGCAAGUCGAACGGAUGACAGAGAGUUUGCUCUCUGAAGUCAGUGGCGCACGAGUGAGUAACGCGUGGGAAACUGCCCUUCACUGGGGAAUAACGUUUGGAAACGAACGCUAAUACCGCAUACGCCCGCAAGGGGAAAGAUUUAUCGGUGAUGGAUGUGCCCGCGUUGGAUUAGCCAGUUGGUGGGGUAAUGGCCUACCAAAGCAAUGAUCCAUAGCUGGUCUGAGAGGACGAUCAGCCACGCUGGAACUGAGACACGGUCCAGACUCCUACGGGAGGCAGCAGCUAAGAAUAUUGGUCAAUGGGGGAAACCCUGAACCAGCCCAUGCCGCGUGAAUGAAGAAGGCCUUCGGGUUGUAAAGUUCUUUUAGUCGUGAAGAUGAUGACAGUAGCGACAGAAAAGCACCGGCUAACUUCGUGCCAGCAGCGGC
This 474-nucleotide ribosomal RNA is filed under the name uncultured bacterium. RNAcentral describes it as "bacterial SSU rRNA". It matches the Rfam family "Bacterial small subunit ribosomal RNA", at positions 12 to 518 of the family's 1533-position model. The record is from RNAcentral.